RNAcentral lists this transfer RNA (76 nucleotides) under Eubacteriales bacterium. RNAcentral's name for it is "tRNA-Pro". It matches the Rfam family "tRNA". From Rfam's summary of the family: Transfer RNA (tRNA) molecules are approximately 80 nucleotides in length. The record is from RNAcentral. Lineage: Bacteria; Bacillati; Bacillota; Clostridia; Eubacteriales.
CCGGGUGUAGCGCAGCCGGUAGCGCGCCUGACUGGGGGUCAGGAGGCCGUGGGUUCAAGUCCCGCCACUCGGACCA